UAUCUUCGGGGUAGGGUGAAAUUCCCAAUCGGCGGUAUAGUCCGCGAGGAACAAUGAUUUGUUUUUGAUACCGGUGCAAUUCCGGAACCGACAGUUACAGUCUGGAUGGGAGAAGAUU
Molecule: non-coding RNA, 118 nt
Filed under: human gut metagenome
Description: FMN riboswitch (RFN element)
Rfam family: FMN riboswitch aptamer (RFN element)
About the family: The RFN element is a highly conserved domain that is found frequently in the 5'-untranslated regions of prokaryotic mRNAs that encode for flavin mononucleotide (FMN) biosynthesis and transport proteins.
Source: RNAcentral